This 1064-nucleotide ribosomal RNA is filed under the name Psychrobacter sp. LS17a. Its description in RNAcentral is "bacterial SSU rRNA". It matches the Rfam family "Bacterial small subunit ribosomal RNA", at positions 79 to 1143 of the family's 1533-position model. The record is from RNAcentral. Lineage: Bacteria; Pseudomonadati; Pseudomonadota; Gammaproteobacteria; Moraxellales; Moraxellaceae.
GCUUCUCGCUGACGAGCGGCGGACGGGUGAGUAAUACUUAGGAAUCUACCUAGUAGUGGGGGAUAGCUCGGGGAAACUCGAAUUAAUACCGCAUACGACCUACGGGAGAAAGGGGGCAACUUGUUGCUCUCGCUAUUAGAUGAGCCUAAGUCGGAUUAGCUAGAUGGUGGGGUAAAGGCCUACCAUGGCGACGAUCUGUAGCUGGUCUGAGAGGAUGAUCAGCCACACCGGGACUGAGACACGGCCCGGACUCCUACGGGAGGCAGCAGUGGGGAAUAUUGGACAAUGGGGGCAACCCUGAUCCAGCCAUGCCGCGUGUGUGAAGAAGGCCUUUUGGUUGUAAAGCACUUUAAGCAGUGAAGAAGACUCCAUGGUUAAUACCCAUGGACGAUGACAUUAGCUGCAGAAUAAGCACCGGCUAACUCUGUGCCAGCAGCCGCGGUAAUACAGAGGGUGCAAGCGUUAAUCGGAAUUACUGGGCGUAAAGCGAGCGUAGGUGGCUUGAUAAGUCAGAUGUGAAAGCCCCGGGCUUAACCUGGGAACGGCAUCUGAUACUGUUAGGCUAGAGUAGGUGAGAGGAAGGUAGAAUUCCAGGUGUAGCGGUGAAAUGCGUAGAGAUCUGGAGGAAUACCGAUGGCGAAGGCAGCCUUCUGGCAUCAUACUGACACUGAGGUUCGAAAGCGUGGGUAGCAAACAGGAUUAGAUACCCUGGUAGUCCACGCCGUAAACGAUGUCUACUAGUCGUUGGGUCCCUUGAGGACUUAGUGACGCAGCUAACGCAAUAAGUAGACCGCCUGGGGAGUACGGCCGCAAGGUUAAAACUCAAAUGAAUUGACGGGGGCCCGCACAAGCGGUGGAGCAUGUGGUUUAAUUCGAUGCAACGCGAAGAACCUUACCUGGUCUUGACAUAUCUAGAAUCCUGCAGAGAUGCGGGAGUGCCUUCGGGAAUUAGAAUACAGGUGCUGCAUGGCUGUCGUCAGCUCGUGUCGUGAGAUGUUGGGUUAAGUCCCGCAACGAGCGCAACCCUUGUCCUUAGUUACCAGCGGUUUGGCCGGGAACUCUAA